AUUGAACGCUGGCGGCAGGCCUAAUACAUGCAAGUCGAACGGUAACAUAAAAGAAGCUUGCUUCUUUUGAUGACGAGUGGCGGACGGGUGAGUAAUAUUUGGGAAACUACCUGAUAGAGGGGGACAACAGUUGGAAACGACUGCUAAUACCGCAUAAAGCCUGAGGGUGAAAGCAGCAAUGCGCUUAAAGAUGGGCUCGCGUCUGAUUAGCUAGUUGGUGAGGUAACGGCUCACCAAGGCGACGAUGCGUAGCCGACCUGAGAGGGUGAUCGGCCACAUUGGGACUGAGACACGGCCCAGACUCCUACGGGAGGCAGCAGUCGGGAAUAUUGCGCAAUGGAGGAAACUCUGACGCAGUGACGCCGCGUAUAGGAAGAAGGUUUUCGGAUUGUAAACUAUUUUAGUCAGGGAAGAAAAAUGACAGUACCUGAAGAAUAAGCUCCGGCUAACUACGUG
This 456-nucleotide ribosomal RNA is filed under the name uncultured bacterium. Its description in RNAcentral is "bacterial SSU rRNA". It matches the Rfam family "Bacterial small subunit ribosomal RNA", at positions 30 to 507 of the family's 1533-position model. The record is from RNAcentral.